This 508-nucleotide ribosomal RNA is filed under the name uncultured Nitrososphaerota archaeon. Its description in RNAcentral is "bacterial SSU rRNA". It matches the Rfam family "Archaeal small subunit ribosomal RNA", at positions 349 to 860 of the family's 1478-position model. The record is from RNAcentral. Lineage: Archaea; Thermoproteati; Nitrososphaerota.
UCUGCAUAGGCGAAAGCCUGACAGGGUUACUCUGAGUGAUUCCCGCUAAGGGGAUCUUUUGGCACCUCUAAAAAUGGUGCAGAAUAAGGGGUGGGCAAGCCUGGUGUCAGCCGCCGCGGUAAUACCAGCACCCCGAGUGGUCGGGACGAUUAUUGGGCCUAAAGCAUCCGUAGCCGGCCACGCAAGUCCUCCGUUAAAUCCACCCGCUCAACGGUUGGGCUGCGGAGGAUACUACGUGGCUAGGAGGCGGGAGAGGCAAGCGGUACUCAAUGGGUAGGGGUAAAAUCCUUUGAUCCAUUGAAGACCACCAGUGGCGAAGGCGGCUUGCCAGAACGCGCUCGACGGUGAGGGAUGAAAGCUGGGGGAGCAAACCGGAUUAGAUACCCGGGUAGUCCCAGCUGUAAACGAUGCAGACUCGGUGAUGGGAUGGCCUCGAGCCAUCCCAGUGCCGCAGGGAAGCCGUUAAGUCUGCCGCCUGGGGAGUACGGUCGCAAGACUGAAACUUAAA